UACGUAGGGUGCGAGCGUUUGUCCGGAAUUAUUGGGCGUAAAGGGCUCGUAGGCGGUCUGUCGCGUCGGGAGUGAAAACUCAGGGCUUAACCCUGAGCCUGCUUCCGAUACGGGCAGACUAGAGGUAUGCAGGGGGAGAACGGAAUUCCUGGUGUAGCGGUGGAAUGCGCAGAUAUCAGGAGGAACACCGGUGGCGAAGGCGGUUCUCUGGGCAUUACCUGACGCUGAGGAGCGAAAGUGUGGGGAGCGAACAGG
This 255-nucleotide ribosomal RNA is filed under the name uncultured bacterium. RNAcentral describes it as "partial 16S ribosomal RNA". It matches the Rfam family "Bacterial small subunit ribosomal RNA", at positions 524 to 776 of the family's 1533-position model. The record is from RNAcentral.